RNAcentral lists this ribosomal RNA (548 nucleotides) under uncultured bacterium. RNAcentral's name for it is "bacterial SSU rRNA". It matches the Rfam family "Bacterial small subunit ribosomal RNA", at positions 848 to 1398 of the family's 1533-position model. The record is from RNAcentral.
CAAGCGAAAGCAUUAAGUAUUCCACCUGGGGAGUACGCCGGCAACGGUGAAACUCAAAGGAAUUGACGGGGGCCCGCACAAGCGGAGGAACAUGUGGUUUAAUUCGAUGAUACGCGAGGAACCUUACCCGGGCUUAAAUUGCACCUGAAUAAUGUGGAAACAUGUUAGCCGUAAGGCAGGUGUGAAGGUGCUGCAUGGUUGUCGUCAGCUCGUGCCGUGAGGUGUCGGCUUAAGUGCCAUAACGAGCGCAACCCUUAUCUUCAGUUACUAACAGGUCAUGCUGAGGACUCUGGAGAGACUGCCGUCGUAAGAUGUGAGGAAGGUGGGGAUGACGUCAAAUCAGCACGGCCCUUACGUCCGGGGCUACACACGUGUUACAAUGGGAGGUACAGAAGGCCGCUACCUGGCGACAGGAUGCCAAUCCCCAAAACCUCUCUCAGUUCGGAUCGAAGUCUGCAACCCGACUUCGUGAAGCUGGAUUCGCUAGUAAUCGCGCAUCAGCCAUGGCGCGGUGAAUACGUUCCCGGGCCUUGUACACACCGCCCGUC